UGCCAAUGAUGUGACUAGACACCUCUUGUCUGAAUUUUAUUGUUGAAAAUAAUUGCAUUUCUGAGGCA
Stegodyphus dumicola is the source of this 68-nucleotide small nucleolar RNA. RefSeq annotates it as small nucleolar RNA snoR122. Lineage: Eukaryota; Metazoa; Arthropoda; Arachnida; Araneae; Eresidae. The record is from RefSeq and is a predicted model, not a curated record.